Molecule: ribosomal RNA, 445 nt
Filed under: uncultured bacterium
Lineage: Bacteria
Description: partial 16S ribosomal RNA
Rfam family: Bacterial small subunit ribosomal RNA
Source: RNAcentral
GUAGGGAAUAUUGGGCAAUGGAUGCAAGUCUGACCCAGCCAUCCCGCGUGCCGGAAGAAGGCCCUCAGGGUUGUAAACGGCUUUUGACGGUGAAGAACCGACAGGAUGCGUCCUGUUUUGACGGUAGCCGUUGAAUAAGCACCGGCUAACUCCGUGCCAGCCGCCGCGGUAAUACGGAGGGUGCGAGCGUUGUCCGGAUUUAUUGGGUUUAAAGGGUGCGUAGGCUGGAAGGUCAGUCAGCGGUGAAAAGCUAGAGCUUAACGAUAGUCUUGCCGCAGAUACUUCCUUACUUGGAUGAGGAGUAGGCCACUGGAACGGAUGGUGUAGCGGUGAAAUGCAUAGAUAUCAUCCAGAACACCGAUUGCGAAGGCAGGUGGCUGUACCUUAAUCGACGCUGAUGCACGAAAGCAUGGGGAGCAAACAGGAUUAGAAACCCCUGUAGUCC